GACGAACGCUGGCGGCGUGCUUAACACAUGCAAGUCGAACGGAAAGGCCCUGCUUUUGUGGGGUGCUCGAGUGGCGAACGGGUGAGUAACACGUGAGUAACCUGCCCUUGACUUUGGGAUAACUUCAGGAAACUGGGGCUAAUACCGGAUAGGAGCUCCUGCUGCAUGGUGGGGGUUGGAAAGUUUCGGCGGUUGGGGAUGGACUCGCGGCUUAUCAGCUUGUUGGUGGGGUAGUGGCUUACCAAGGCUUUGACGGGUAGCCGGCCUGAAAGGGUGACCGGCCACAUUGGGACUGAGAUACGGCCCAGACUCCUACGGGAGGCAGCAGUGGGGAAUAUUGCACAAUGGGCGGAAGCCUGAUGCAGCAACGCCGCGUGCGGGAUGACGGCCUUCGGGUUGUAAACCGCUUUCGCCUGUGACGAAGCGUGAGUGACGGUAAUGAGUAAAGAAGCACCGGCUAACUACGUG
Molecule: ribosomal RNA, 468 nt
Filed under: uncultured bacterium
Lineage: Bacteria
Description: partial 16S ribosomal RNA
Rfam family: Bacterial small subunit ribosomal RNA
Source: RNAcentral